UCCCCAGUGGUCCAGUGGUUGAAAUUCUGUGCUUCCACUGCAGGGGCCACAGGUUCAAUCCCUGGUUGGGGAA
Molecule: transfer RNA, 73 nt
Filed under: Bos taurus (domestic cattle)
Lineage: Eukaryota; Metazoa; Chordata; Mammalia; Artiodactyla; Bovidae
Also listed under: 2 other names
Rfam family: tRNA
About the family: Transfer RNA (tRNA) molecules are approximately 80 nucleotides in length. Their secondary structure includes four short double-helical elements and three loops (D, anti-codon, and T loops).
Source: Rfam by way of RNAcentral